GUACGUUGUAGACCUCUGACAGGGACAUAUAGGAAGGGAUUCAGUCAGAGGUACGUUGUAGACCUCUGUUGACAGGGACAUAUAGGAAGGGAUUCAGUCAGAGGUACGUUGUAGACCUCUGUUGACAGGGACAUAUAGGAAGGGAUUCAGUCAGAUGUACGUUGUAGACCUCUGACAGGGACAUAUAGGAAGGGAUUCAGUCAGAGGUACGUUGUAGACCUCUGACAGGGACAUAUAGGAAGGGAUUCAGUCAGAGGUACGUUGUAGACCUCUGUUGACAGGGACAUAUAGGAAGGGAUUCAGUCAGAGGUACGUUGUAGACCUCUGACAGGGACAUAUAGGAAGGGAUUCAGUCAGAGGUACGUUGUAGACCUCUGUUGACAGUGCCCCAUUUAAAGGCAGUGUUCCUCAGCGUGUUCAUGGUAAAUGUUGCCUAUGUCAGCUCAGUCAGAUAUCACCUUUAAAUGUUCAGGGUGCUACAACACACCUCAGAUUGAAUCUCAGACACUGUAUUCGUACAAGACUGUUUCUGCAUCCAACAACAAGUUGCCAAGCUAGUAGUAAUGUUAAUUAGUGGGAUAAGUUGGUCAAAUCUGGAACAGACUGUUACCCUGUCUAGUGAAGAGGUCACUGUCUCUUAUGUCACAAUGAAGGACCAGUGUGUCUAGUGAAGAGGUUACUGUCUCUUAUGUCACAAUGAAGAGGUCACCAUCUCUUAUGUCACAAUGAAGAGGUUACCGUCUCUUAUGUCACAAUGAAGAGGUCACCAUCUCUUAUGUCACAAUGAAGAGGUUACCGUCUCUUAUGUCACAAUGAAGAGGUUACCGUCUCUUAUGUCACAAUGAAAGUGAUGAGGAACAAUGAGGAACCAUGAUAACUAAAAGAUGAAAAGGUAAGCUGUGAAACCUCUCCUUCGCACACACACACACACACACACACACACACACACACACACACACACACACACACACACACACACACACACGAGAGAUCAAGGUGCAGACAGACAGGGUGUGUGAGGUUGCAGGAACAGAUAAGGAACUUAAUGGCAUUGGGAUCACAAACGGGCUCAUAGCAAACUAUCAUUAAGGCAAAGGAUGAGUGUGUUGUUGAGGGGUGUGUGUGUGUGUGUGUGUCUG
Long non-coding RNA from Oncorhynchus keta (chum salmon), 1139 nucleotides. RefSeq lists it as uncharacterized. The record is from RefSeq and is a predicted model, not a curated record. The transcript is spliced from 3 exons. NCBI's taxonomy places the organism in Eukaryota, Metazoa, Chordata, Actinopteri, Salmoniformes, Salmonidae.